GCAUUUAUGAGGAGUCCCAUACUAGGACGAAACGGCCGUCCAGUGU
RNAcentral lists this non-coding RNA (46 nucleotides) under Schistosoma mattheei. The record is from RNAcentral. Lineage: Eukaryota; Metazoa; Platyhelminthes; Trematoda; Strigeidida; Schistosomatidae.